AUGAACGCUGGCGGCGUGCCUAAUACAUGCAAGUCGAGCGAACAGACGAGGAGCUUGCUCCUCUGACGUUAGCGGCGGACGGGUGAGUAACACGUGGAUAACCUACCUAUAAGACUGGGAUAACUUCGGGAAACCGGAGCUAAUACCGGAUAAUAUAUUGAACCGCAUGGUUCAAUAGUGAAAGACGGUUUUGCUGUUACUUAUAGAUGGAUUCGCGCCGCAUUAGCUAGUUGGUAAGGUAACGGCUUACCAAGGCAACGAUGCGUAGCCGACCUGAGAGGGUGAUCGGCCACCCGGGAACUGAGACACGGUCCAGACUCCUACGGGAGGCAGCAGUAGGGAAUCUUCCGCAAAGGGCGAAAGCCUGACGGAGCAACGCCGCGUGAGUGAUGAAGGUCUUCGGAUCGUAAAACUCUGUUAUUAGGGAAGAACAAAUGUGUAAGUAACUAUGCACGUCUUGACGGUACCUAAUCAGAAAGCCACGGCUAACUACGUG
RNAcentral lists this ribosomal RNA (496 nucleotides) under uncultured bacterium. RNAcentral's name for it is "partial 16S ribosomal RNA". It matches the Rfam family "Bacterial small subunit ribosomal RNA", at positions 29 to 507 of the family's 1533-position model. The record is from RNAcentral.